Molecule: ribosomal RNA, 449 nt
Filed under: uncultured organism
Description: partial 16S ribosomal RNA
Rfam family: Bacterial small subunit ribosomal RNA
Source: RNAcentral
ACUCCUGCGGGAGGCAGCAGUGGGGAAUAUUGGACAAUGGGCGCAAGCCUGAUCCAGCCAUGCCGCGUGAGUGAUGAAGGCCCUAGGGUUGUAAAGCUCUUUCACCGGUGAAGAUAAUGACGGUAACCGGAGAAGAAGCCCCGGCUAACUUCGUGCCAGCAGCCGCGGUAAUACGAAGGGGGCUAGCGUUGUUCGGAUUUACUGGGCGUAAAGCGCACGUAGGCGGACUAUCAAGUCAGGGGUGAAAUCCCGGGGCUCAACCCCGGAACUGCCUUUGAUACUGGUAGUCUUGAGUUCGAGAGAGGUGAGUGGAAUUCCGAGUGUAGAGGUGAAAUUCGUAGAUAUUCGGAGGAACACCAGUGGCGAAGGCGGCUCACUGGCUCGAUACUGACGCUGAGGUGCGAAAGCGUGGGGAGCAAACAGGAUUAGAAACCCCGGUAGUCCCAUGA